CCAAAGACUACUGCUGUGGAAGAAGAAGAAGAAGAAGAAGAAGAAGAAGAAGAAGAGAAAGAGAGAGAGAGAGAGAAUGCAGCAGUUCCUCAUCACAGCCUUGGAUAAUGACCUCAUUCCGGUCGCCAGAGUUUUGCGAUCGAGGGCAGCAUGAUUGUACAAGAAAGAAGCAGAGCCUGAAAUGAAGAGAAGACGAAAAGGUGUGAGAAUACAGCAAAGGCUUUGAGUGACACAUUUUUGACAUACAGUGGGGAGGCUGAAGUGGAGGACACUGUUUCUAUGGCCUUGCUGAUCCAAGAAUGAAACAAGUGCAUGGCAUUAAACAUCUGUGGUUCAAUUGUUUGAAUCAAUGGAUUACUGUCUGAUCUAUAUGGAAUUGGAACUACAAGAUUUGAAGAACUACUGUAAAAUUAAAUCCUCAUAUUACCCCAAAACUGCAUUGUUAGAUUUUAUUUGAUAAAGUGUUGUCACAUACAGUACAAGCCACAUAUAAGCCUGGUUGCUUUGGAUUUUACUGCCUUUCUAACAAAAUCUGGACUUUUAUAGUCCUGUUAAAACUCCA
Molecule: long non-coding RNA, 562 nt
Organism: Labeo rohita (rohu)
Lineage: Eukaryota; Metazoa; Chordata; Actinopteri; Cypriniformes; Cyprinidae
Exons: 3
Source: RefSeq, a predicted model, not a curated record